RNAcentral lists this ribosomal RNA (475 nucleotides) under Babesia odocoilei. Its description in RNAcentral is "SSU rRNA". It matches the Rfam family "Eukaryotic small subunit ribosomal RNA", at positions 514 to 1040 of the family's 1831-position model. Lineage: Eukaryota; Apicomplexa; Aconoidasida; Piroplasmida; Babesiidae. The record is from RNAcentral.
AUGAUGGUGACCUAAACCCUCACCAGAGUAACAAUUGGAGGGCAAGUCUGGUGCCAGCAGCCGCGGUAAUUCCAGCUCCAAUAGCGUAUAUUAAACUUGUUGCAGUUAAAAAGCUCGUAGUUGAAUUUCUGCGUCACCGUAUUUUGACUUUUGUCGACUGUCGGUUUCGCUUUUGGGAUUUAUCCCUUUUUACUUUGAGAAAAUUAGAGUGUUUCAAGCAGACUUUUGUCUUGAAUACUUCAGCAUGGAAUAAUAGAGUAGGACUUUGGUUCUAUUUUGUUGGUUUGUGAACCUUAGUAAUGGUUAAUAGGAACGGUUGGGGGCAUUCGUAUUUAACUGUCAGAGGUGAAAUUCUUAGAUUUGUUAAAGACGAACUACUGCGAAAGCAUUUGCCAAGGACGUUUUCAUUAAUCAAGAACGAAAGUUAGGGGAUCGAAGACGAUCAGAUACCGUCGUAGUCCACCAAUAAAACUAA